UUUCCACAACCCAAAAAGUCCGAAGCCAUUUCCGAAACAAAAAACCCUCUCCCCAAACUCCACCAUCUGUCUCUCUGACCUUGCGAGACCCCUUCCUCCGCCACUCUCUCUCUGCGACCCUGCGACCCUGCGAGACCCGAGCGACACCUCACUCCGCCACCAUGCUGCGCCAAGCCACCACCUUCUGACCCGAUCAGCUAUCCCCCUCAGCGCCAGUCCCUUUUCCACCGACGUCGCUGCGACUGCCCCAGCUGGUUCUACUUUUAGCGACGCCUGGAAGAAGGCGGUGCCUCACAUAGAACCCCCCAAGACCCUAUUGACCUUCAUGAAAGCCUCGGCCUGCAACCCCGUCGUCGAUCCCCACUAAGCUCCCUGUCAACUUUGUGCUCCCUUAUGCGUCCGAACUUUCGGCCAAAGAGGUCAUCCCUUUGACAACCUUUAUCCUGGUUCUGAUUGCCUUAUCUCCUUGUCUCAUUGAAGCUUGGAGCCAUCCACUGCCAUCGUUGAUUACAAGAUGUGUUGCCUAUGCAUAUACUUGUGGGUUUAUGUUUGGGUGGCACUUUCAUGAGAAGGCAUCACUCCACUUUGUCUCUUGCCAUUGUUGCAGUGCAGAGUUUGGAUAAUGUGAGGCUUUACUUCUUGUUAUCAAUUGGUAUCCUUCUUCUUGCUUUCAUUUCUUCGCAGAGAAACGAGGGGGGUUUCCUUGAGAGAUUUGUUUGAGUGGGGGUUAUUAUGUUUCAGUGUUUUCUAUGCAGUUUCCUGCGACUCGCUGUUCCCACUUCUACAUGAAGCGCUUCAGGAGUAUCCAGUAAAGGUUUUAUUGCUGUAGCUCCCAGAUCACUACUCUCUCUAUCUCCUUUCUUUCUUGUCGUGUUCUCUCUCUCCUUUUUCUCUCGUGGUAUUCCCUCUCCCUCUAAACACCAUCUUCUCGUCAUCAAAUAACGGCCUUCCGGACAAUCACGAUUUCGUAUGAUUUUAUCUUACUUUUUUUUUAGGGAAUCUGCAGCACUGCUGUCUUUCCUAUUUGAUAUUUGUCUAAUUUCUUAUGAGUCCUUGACACCUAGUGUGACUGUCGCAAUCUGAAAACUAACGAAGUCUCUUUCUAUGCAUAAUAAAAAUUAUUUUCUUCUCCCUUUCCA
Molecule: long non-coding RNA, 1139 nt
Organism: Malus domestica (apple)
Lineage: Eukaryota; Viridiplantae; Streptophyta; Magnoliopsida; Rosales; Rosaceae
Source: RefSeq, a predicted model, not a curated record